This 346-nucleotide long non-coding RNA is filed under the name Ananas comosus (pineapple). Its description in RNAcentral is "long non-coding RNA (ACOM_LNC028992)". The record is from RNAcentral. Lineage: Eukaryota; Viridiplantae; Streptophyta; Magnoliopsida; Poales; Bromeliaceae.
ACAUGACAAUCGAUUGUGAUUGAUUUACUCCUUUUAACGAUUUGACAGUCAAUUGGAGUUGAAUUGCUCAGUUUAACAACAUAGCGAUCGAUUUAAAAUUGAAGUGCUCAUUUUAACAACAUGGUGGUCAGUUUGAAGUUGAAUUGUUUAGUUUAGUGAUAUGCUAGUCAGUUUGAAAUUGAGUUGCUCAAUUUCAUGAUAUGAUAGUCGGAUUGAAGUUGAGUUGCUCAAUUUAAUGAAAUGUCGGUCGAUUUGAAGUUGAGUUUGAUUUUGAACUUGGUUUGCUUAGUUUAAUAACUGGACGAUCGAAGUUGGUUUGAGUUUGAGCUUGAUUUACUCAGUUUAA